Molecule: long non-coding RNA, 459 nt
Organism: Peromyscus maniculatus bairdii (prairie deer mouse)
Lineage: Eukaryota; Metazoa; Chordata; Mammalia; Rodentia; Cricetidae
Source: RefSeq, a predicted model, not a curated record
GUGCUGGUCUCACAGUGCUGGUCUCACAGUGCUGGUCUUCUAGCUGCACACCUGGUGUGUGAAGUGCUGGGAUGAAGCCCAAGGCUUCAUGCAUGCUAGGCAAGCACUCUAGCAAUCAAGCCAUUAUCCCCACCCCUACUACCAACCGCUGAACAUACUAGGGUGAAGCAGCUGAGGCCAAAAAGUGGUACUCAAGUUCCGGAUCCCUAAACAGCAAGCCUAAGACUUGGCUGACAAGGCAAAGACCCUGCAAGGCUGUAGAAUUUGUUCACUGUCCUGUUGGCUCCGCGUGGCUGAAAUAGUAGGACCAUAACUCCUACACUGAGCAAUCACCAUCUGAAACAAUUCAGAGAAAGUCCUCUUCACAGGUUUUGUGAUAACGGCUGGACCAGAAGAAAGUGAAGACAGAUUUUAAAUUAAAUCUCUUAAGGAAAAAUGAGAUGGGCACAAAGGAUGGAU